This 107-nucleotide small nuclear RNA is filed under the name Carlito syrichta (Philippine tarsier). The record is from RNAcentral. Lineage: Eukaryota; Metazoa; Chordata; Mammalia; Primates; Tarsiidae.
GUGCUUGCUUUCGCAGCAUAAAUAUUAAAACAGGAACGAUACAGAGAAAAUUAGCAUGGCCCCUGCAUAAGGAUGACAUGCAAAUUCGUGAAGCAUUCCAUUUUUUA